UGAGUACGAGAUGCUACGGCAUUGAAGCAGUCUAUGUCAUACUUCCAAGAAAAGCUUGCACUGUCAUAAAUAAACAAUGCCUGUACCAUAACCGACACAGGUGGGUAGGUAGAGUAUACUAAGGGGCGCGAGAUAACUCUCUCUAAGGAACUCGGCAAAAUGACUCCGUAACUUCGGGAGAAGGAGUGCCUUAUUCGUAAGGUUGCAAUAACAAGAUCCAAGCAACUGUUUAUCAAAAACACAGGUCUCGGCUAAGUCGCAAGACGAUGUAUGGGGGCUGACGCCUGCCCAGUGCCAGAAGGUUAAAGAAGUCGGUUAGCAUUUGCGAAGCUGGUAACUGAAGCCCUGGUGAACGGCGGCCGUAACAAUAACGGUCCUAAGGUAGCGAAAUUCCUUGUCGGGUAAGUUCCGACCCGCACGAAAGGCGUAAUGAUUUGGAUACUGUCUCGGAGAGGGACUCGGUGAAAUAGACUUGUCUGUGAAGAUGCGGACUACCUGCACCUGGACAGAAAGACCCUAUGAAGCUUUACUGUAACUUGAGAUUGAAAUUGGACUUUAUAUGCGCAGUAUAGGUGGGAGGCUAUGAAAAUCUUUUUGCGGAAAGAUUGGAGCCAUCAGUGAGAUACCACUCUUAUAAUGUUAGAUUUCUAACUUUGUAUCAUUAUCUGGUCAAAGAACAGUCUCAGGCGGGCAGUUUGACUGGGGCGGUCGCCUCCCAAACGGUAACGGAGGCGCACAAAGGUUUCCUCUGAACGGGUAGAAAUCGUAUCUAGAGUGUAAAGGCAUAAGGAAGCUUGACUGUGAGACCUACAAGUCGAGCAGGGACGAAAGUCGGUCUUAGUAUCUGACGGUGCUGAGUGGAAAGGCCGUCACUCAUCGGAUAAAAGUUACUCUAGGAUAACAGGCUGAUCUCCCCCAAGAGUUCACAUCGACGGGGAGGUUUGGCACCUCGAUGUCGGCUCAUCGCAUCCUGGGGCGGUAGUACGUCCCAAGGGUUGGGCUGUUCGCCCAUGAAAGCGGUACGCGAGCUGGGUUCAGAACGUCGUGAGACAGUUCGGUCCAUAUCCGGUGUAGGCGUUAGAAUAUUGAGAGGAGCCUUCUUUAGUACGAGAGGACCGAGAAGGACAUACCUCUGGUGUACCAGUUAUCGUGCCAACGGUAAACGCUGGGUAGCUAUGUGUGGAGUGGAUAACCGCUGAAAGCAUCUAAGUGGGAAGCCCACCUCAAGAUAAGUAUUCUC
RNAcentral lists this ribosomal RNA (1240 nucleotides) under metagenome. RNAcentral describes it as "bacterial LSU rRNA". It matches the Rfam family "Bacterial large subunit ribosomal RNA", at positions 1564 to 2815 of the family's 2925-position model. The record is from RNAcentral.